This 718-nucleotide ribosomal RNA is filed under the name uncultured bacterium. RNAcentral's name for it is "bacterial SSU rRNA". It matches the Rfam family "Bacterial small subunit ribosomal RNA", at positions 40 to 747 of the family's 1533-position model. The record is from RNAcentral.
CGGCAGGCUUAACACAUGCAAGUCGAGGGGCCUCAAGGAGGAAGCUUGCUUUCUCCGCCGGCGACCGGCGCACGGGUGAGUAACACGUAUGCAACCUGCCCCUGUCAGGGGGACAACCCGCCGAAAGGCGGGCUAAACCCGCGUACAUGCCACCGGGGCAUCCCGGAGGCAGGAAAGGCUUCGGCCGGACACGCAUGGGCAUGCAGCGCAUUAGGCAGUAGGCGGGGUAACGGCCCACCUAACCGACGAUGCGUAGGGGUUCUGAGAGGAAGGUCCCCCACACUGGUACUGAGACACGGACCAGACUCCUACGGGAGGCAGCAGUGAGGAAUAUUGGUCAAUGGUCGGGAGACUGAACCAGCCAAGCCGCGUGAGGGAGGAAGGUACAGAGUAUCGUAAACCUCUUUUGUCAGGGAACAAAGACUGGGACGCGUCCCCGGAUGAGUGUACCUGAAGAAAAAGCAUCGGCUAACUCCGUGCCAGCAGCCGCGGUAAUACGGAGGAUGCGAGCGUUAUCCGGAUUUAUUGGGUUUAAAGGGUGCGCAGGCGGUCUGUUAAGUCAGCGGUCAAAGCCCGGGGCUCAACCCCGGCCCGCCGUUGAAACUGGCAGUCUCGAGUUGGAGAGAAGUAUGCGGAAUGCGCGGUGUAGCGGUGAAAUGCAUAGAUAUCGCGCAGAACUCCGAUUGCGAAGGCAGCAUGCCGGCUCCACACUGACGCU